CAGAAACAGAAGAGUGUGUAAGUCCUAUUGAAUUUAUAGCCCUGCUGCUUUCCACAGAUGAGGCAGGGAUGGAUUCAAGUGAAGAACCUGGAGCACAGUGGGCAGUGGCUCCUGUAGCUGACCUACAGUGAGAGCAUACACUGCACUCAGGAUUUUCUGAAAAGUGGACAGGGGCAUUCAGAUCUAACUUCUAACCCUCACCACCUCUCUUCUCUAAAGAGAUGACAGGUCCAAUGAUGCAAGCAAGCAUCCGGCUCACGGUUUAUUUAGUGUCACAACUUCAUCAGUUUUGUAGAGACAAGGACUCGCUGUAGAGCUCUGGCUGGUCUGGCACUCACUAUGUAGACCAGGCUGGUCUUGAACUCACAGAGACCUACUUGAUGGUGACUGCAAGUGCUGGGAUUAAAGUCGUGUAACCAUCACACCUCGCUUCUGAAACUGGAAUGGUUUAAAAGACUCUUACUGAACCUUCACCUGACGAUGGAUGGAGAAAAUGACAGAGCCCCACAUUGGUGCACCAGACUG
Molecule: long non-coding RNA, 525 nt
Organism: Arvicola amphibius (Eurasian water vole)
Lineage: Eukaryota; Metazoa; Chordata; Mammalia; Rodentia; Cricetidae
Exons: 4
Source: RefSeq, a predicted model, not a curated record